GACGAACGCUGGCGGCGUGCUUAACACAUGCAAGUCGAACGAAGAGCGAUGGAAGCUUGCUUCUAUCAAUCUUAGUGGCGAACGGGUGAGUAACGCGUAAUCAACCUGCCCUUCAGAGGGGGACAACAGUUGGAAACGACUGCUAAUACCGCAUACGAUCUAAUCUCGGCAUCGAGGAUAGAUGAAAGGUGGCCUCUACAUGUAAGCUAUCACUGAAGGAGGGGAUUGCGUCGGAUUAGCUAGUUGGAGGGGUAACGGCCCACCAAGGCGAUGAUCAGUAGCCGGUCUGAGAGGAUGAACGGCCACAUUGGGACUGAGACACGGCCCAGACUCCUACGGGAGGCAGCAGUGGGGAAUCUUCCGCAAUGGACGAAAGUCUGACGGAGCAACGCCGCGUGAGGGAUGACGGCCUUCGGGUUGUAAAGCUCUGUUAAUCGGGACGAAAGGCCUUCUUGCGAAUAGUGAGAAGGAUUGACGGUACCGGAAGAGAAAGCCACGGCUAACUACGUG
RNAcentral lists this ribosomal RNA (510 nucleotides) under uncultured bacterium. RNAcentral describes it as "partial 16S ribosomal RNA". It matches the Rfam family "Bacterial small subunit ribosomal RNA", at positions 28 to 507 of the family's 1533-position model. The record is from RNAcentral.